AAGACCUUGCGCUUUUGGAGCGGCCGAUGCCUGAUUAGCUUGUUGGUGAGGUAAAAGCUCACCAAGGCUUCGAUCAGUAGCUGGUCUGAGAGGACGACCAGCCACACUGGGACUGAGACACGGCCCAGACUCCUACGGGAGGCAGCAGUGGGGAAUUUUGGACAAUGGGGGCAACCCUGAWCCAGCCAUGCCGCGUGAGUGAAGAAGGCCUUCGGGUUGUAAAGCUCUUUCAGCCGGAACGAAACGGUCACGGCUAAUACCUGUGACUACUGACGAUACCGGAAGAAGAAGCACCGGCUAACUACGUGCCAGCAGCCGCGGUAAUACGUAGGGUGCGAGCGUUAAUCGGAAUUACUGGGCGUAAAGCGUGCGCAGGUGGUUUUGUAAGUCAGAUGUGAAAUCCCCGGGCUUAACCUGGGAACU
RNAcentral lists this ribosomal RNA (423 nucleotides) under uncultured bacterium. Its description in RNAcentral is "bacterial SSU rRNA". It matches the Rfam family "Bacterial small subunit ribosomal RNA", at positions 207 to 622 of the family's 1533-position model. The record is from RNAcentral.